This is an unclassified non-coding RNA of Gorilla gorilla gorilla (western lowland gorilla), 319 nucleotides long. Its record names the gene 7SK. It matches the Rfam family "7SK RNA". From Rfam's summary of the family: 7SK was discovered as an abundant small nuclear RNA in the mid-70s but a possible function has only recently been suggested. Two independent studies have found that 7SK RNA binds the CDK9/cyclin T complex (known as elongation factor P-TEFb). P-TEFb activates transcription by phosphorylating the C-terminal domain of RNA polymerase II. The record is from Ensembl. NCBI's taxonomy places the organism in Eukaryota, Metazoa, Chordata, Mammalia, Primates, Hominidae.
GGCUGUGAACAUGUGGCUGGGAGAGGCCAUUGUCCACACACAGACAGCUCAAGUUGUUCAGCUCCAUUUGCCAACCCAUGCCCUGCCCCUGGCUUGACUGGUCCCCCUCCUCUUCUGCUACUAAAGUCUCUCCUGAAGCUGAGAACCAGCCAAUGAGGAUGACGGUGCCAGGGAGAGAGGAUCCUGUGUUGGUCAAGGAUGUGCGAGUAGCUGUUACCUCCAUUGGCAGUUUUGUCACUAAAAGACCUCAUUCGCUUGAGCAUUUGAGGAUGACCAAAUAGAAUCACUAACUUUGGUUAUUUCCAGUUUGGUCUGCAUU